CAAACUGUAGCUAAGAUAGUCAAAGCAUCUCCCUUACACUGAGAAGACAUUUGUGCAAAUCAAAUCUGUUUGA
Molecule: transfer RNA, 73 nt
Filed under: Aphredoderus sayanus (pirate perch)
Lineage: Eukaryota; Metazoa; Chordata; Actinopteri; Percopsiformes; Aphredoderidae
Description: tRNA-Val
Rfam family: tRNA
About the family: Transfer RNA (tRNA) molecules are approximately 80 nucleotides in length.
Source: RNAcentral